GACGAGCCUGACAAACGUUAUUCGGAAUCACUGGGCUUAAAGGGUGCGUAGGCUGUGCGGACAGUCGGGUGUGAAAUACCUCAGCUUAACUGAGGAACUGCAUUCGAUACUACCGUGCUAGAGUAAGACAGAGGUGAGUGGAACUGAGGGUGGAGCGGUGAAAUGCGUUGAUAUCCUCAGGAACACCGGUGGCGAAGGCGACUCACUGGGUCUUUACUGACGCUGAUGAACGAAAGCUAGGGUAGCAAACGGG
RNAcentral lists this ribosomal RNA (253 nucleotides) under uncultured bacterium. Its description in RNAcentral is "partial 16S ribosomal RNA". It matches the Rfam family "Bacterial small subunit ribosomal RNA", at positions 524 to 776 of the family's 1533-position model. The record is from RNAcentral.